Molecule: ribosomal RNA, 231 nt
Filed under: uncultured bacterium
Lineage: Bacteria
Description: partial 16S ribosomal RNA
Rfam family: Bacterial small subunit ribosomal RNA
Source: RNAcentral
UACGUAGGGUGCAAGCGUUAAUCGGAAUACUGGGCGUAAAGCGUGCGCAGGCGGUGAUGUAAGACAGUUGUGAAAUCCCCGGGCUCAACCUGGGAACUGCAUCUGUGACUGCAUUGCUGGAGUGCGGCAGAGGGGGAUGGAAUUCCGCGUGUAGCAGUGAAAUGCGUAGAUAUGCGGAGGAACACCGAUGGCGAAGGCAAUCCCCUGGGCCUGCACUGACGCUCAUGCACG